UAGUCCCGGCCGUAAACGAUGAUAGCUAGGUGUGGGGAGACACUCUUUCUGCGCCGCAGCAAACGCGUUAAGCUAUCCGCCUGGGGAGUACGGCCGCAAGGCUAAAACUCAAAGGAAUUGACGGGGGCCCGCACAAGCAGCGGAGCAUGUGGCUUAAUUCGAAGCAACGCGAAGAACCUUACCAGGGCUUGACAUACAGGUGAAGCGGCGGAAACGCCGUGGCCGAAAGGAGCCUGCAC
Molecule: ribosomal RNA, 239 nt
Filed under: uncultured bacterium
Lineage: Bacteria
Description: partial 16S ribosomal RNA
Rfam family: Bacterial small subunit ribosomal RNA
Source: RNAcentral